RNAcentral lists this ribosomal RNA (214 nucleotides) under uncultured bacterium. RNAcentral's name for it is "partial 16S ribosomal RNA". It matches the Rfam family "Bacterial small subunit ribosomal RNA", at positions 1287 to 1500 of the family's 1533-position model. The record is from RNAcentral.
CCCAGUUCGGAUUGUAGUCUGNAACCCGACUACAUGAAGCUGGAAUCGCUAGUAAUCGCAGGUCAGCAUACUGCGGUGAAUACGUUCCCGGGUCUUGUACACACCGCCCGUCACACCAUGGGAGCCGGAAAUGCCCGAAGCCAGUGACCCAACCUUAGGGAGGGAGCUGUCGAAGGUGGAGCCGGUAACUGGGGUGAAGUCGUAACAAGGUAGC